GGUGAGUAACGCGUGGGUAACCUGCCCUGUACACACGGAUAACAUACCGAAAGGUAUGCUAAUACGAGAUAAUAUGCUUUUAUCGCAUGGUAGAAGUAUCAAAGCUUUUGCGGUACAGGAUGGACCCGCGUCUGAUUAGCUAGUUGGUAAGGUAACGGCUUACCAAGGCGACGAUCAGUAGCCGACCUGAGAGGGUGAUCGGCCACAUUGGAACUGAGACACGGUCCAAACUCCUACGGGAGGCAGCAGUGGGGAAUAUUGCACAAUGGGCGCAAGCCUGAUGCAGCAACGCCGCGUGAGCGAUGAAGGCCUUCGGGUCGUAAAGCUCUGUCCUCAAGGAAGAUAAUGACGGUACUUGAGGAGGAAGCCCCGGCUAACUACGUGCCAGCAGCCGCGGUAAUACGUAGGGGGCUAGCGUUAUCCGGAAUUACUGGGCGUAAAGGGUGCGUAGGUGGUUUCUUAAGUCAGAGGUGAAAGGCUACGGCUCAACCGUAGUAAGCCUUUGAAACUGGGAAACUUGAGUGCAGGAGAGGAGAGUGGAAUUCCUAGUGUAGCGGUGAAAUGCGUAGAUAUUAGGAGGAACACCAGUUGCGAAGGCGACUCUCUGGACUGUAACUGACACUGAGGCACGAAAGCGUGGGGAGCAAACAGGAUUAGAUACCCUGGUAGUCCACGCC
This 677-nucleotide ribosomal RNA is filed under the name uncultured bacterium. RNAcentral's name for it is "bacterial SSU rRNA". It matches the Rfam family "Bacterial small subunit ribosomal RNA", at positions 105 to 801 of the family's 1533-position model. The record is from RNAcentral.